ACGAACAUUCUUUGAUGUUGCGAUCAUGAUAGCGGCGGAUCCCUUCAAGGUACCUUACAGACUGGACGAGUGCUGCACAGCGAGCUUCUUCAAGGUUGUCUAAGUCUAGACGCCUUUUUUCUUCUGCCGCACUGAAGCGUCCCGACAAAAGUAGAGACUAAAUGUGAUGCAAAUAUCAGUCCCAGGAGGCUGAUAACACAUUUAUUCGACAGAUAAUUCAGUUACCGUACAUGUAACGACCGACCCCUAAGCCUUCCAGUUAGUCGUGAUCGCAGCCCUUAGCUUUAGUCAGCUGUCUCGCUUGACCGCACCUAAGUGCUCAGUUUUCUGCCGGUCCCGACCCCUGAGAUCCGACCCCUUCCCGCUUCGCUCCUCUCCCGACCCCGGCGAGCUCAGCCCACCGUCGGAUUCUGCUGAUCUUUCUCACCCGUCCGAUCUAUCCACCGGUGGACCCGCGAGAUCUUUUCCAGAUCCCCCGCGCCAGCCGCACUCGAGUUGCAUGGCCGCCUCAGAGUCUUCCUGCCGCGUGGCUCGUCUUCUCCGACGCCUGCUGCUCAGUUUUGUCUCUGGCAAGCAACCGAGUGGGUUCCCGUGCCCCCUUUCCCCAAUGGCAGCGGAAGCCCUCUGCACCCCUUUCUGCAGAGCCUCGUCUCCCGCGCCCAUCAUCACGCCACCAGAUCCCGGCCCCAGAGCCCGAUGUCGCCCAUCUUUUCCGUCCCUUCAGCCACAGUUGCGCCGCUCGGUCGCCGCUACACGACGAUUCCUCCACCGCCAACCCCGACCGCGGCCGCGACAGUUCCUUUCCCCCGCUCUGUCAGAAGCCGCCCGACAAUCUGUUGUUCCGCGCUCUCCCCCGCGCCCGCGUCCGCCUGUCUUCUCACCUGUGCGCCCUCGAUUCUAGCGCCGUUAAACCGGUCGCUUCUAUCACCUCUUCCGCACGACGACGCCCGCUUUCCGCCAAAUCUCAACCACCAGUCUACCCGCCCCUACGCCGCCCUGACGGUAGAACGCAAUGAUCGCUGGCGUCACCCCCAGAGUUCUACACCACCGCCCUCUUUGCUCAAUCGCCGCCCCGGCAGAGCACUCCAUUGCCUCUCCCCGGCCUUCGCGCCACUCCCCUUCUCUCUCUCCGCGCCGUUUCCUUUCCUCUGCUCCAGCAGCUAUAAAAGGAAUGCCCCCGUCGCCGGAGUUUCCCUCCGCUCUCGUUGCCUUCAGCCUUCUCUAGCUCCCUGCUCAAGCUCCUAGCGCCACCCACCCAGUUCUUGAGGAGUUCUUCUCUCAGUUCUCCCUCAGUUUUCUCCCAGUCACCCAGCAGCUUGCUCCUCCGUGCUGCGUAAAAGCUCUGUGGUGAUCCACCAGAAGCAGCGCCGCCGCCGGAGCAUUGCUAGUUUUAGCCCUUGCUCGAAGCUUUAGUCCCUCCGCCUAAGUCUGCUUCUUCCCGACCCCACGCUUUCCUUUCAGGAAGAAGGUGAGUUGCCGACCCCAGUCCGCCUCGCCCGACCCCUCCUAUCCGUCCGACCCCGGUUCCGUCUCGCCCGACCCUGUCUGUUCCGCCGACCCUUAUCCACCUCGCCCGAGGGCUUGGCUGUGAUCUUUUUCUUCAACUCGAGGGUGUAUGUGUAAAACUUGGGAACCCUUCAGCGCUUGCGUCUAAGGACUCCCCCAGUUAUCACAUCCUCUAGUUCAAGGAUCAGACCACUAGUUCCUUUCCUACCCUUACCUUUUGAUCAUCAUCAGCUCUCGAACCACCAUCACCUCCUACUCUUUGUCGCGAGUUUCUGGGCUCAGGCGAGCCAGUGUUGCUGUUGAAAUAACCGUCUAUGCUAACCCCUGCAUUGCAUUCGUGUAGAGCUGCACCUCGCCGACGGCUUCUACGAGCUUCACCCGGCGCCAGAAGAAGAAGCUGUAGCCGAGCUCCUGUCCUCCGAAGCCGAAGUCGCCCCCGAAGUCGAGCAGUUCCCGUCCUCCUUGCUUGAAGGCAAGCUCCGGUUGCAUGAAAGUCCUAUGUGUUUUACCAGACUUGCGCAUGCCUCUAUAACAUGCUUGUGCAUUUACGUAUAGGAGUUGUGUGAAACCCUAGAUGCAUGACUCAGUAACCCAUGAUCUGAGCACUAGCUGUUGGACCGAGUAGCUGCAUUGCUUAACUAGGAAAAACGGUAAAAGCCGAGUGAUUUCCUGUCACUCGCGAGUUAUAGGAGUUGCAUGUUUACUCUCCUGUUAUAACUAUAAGGACGAUGGACGGGGCAGGGUUUUGGGUAACUCUUUGGUGGUCGGAUGGUCGCCCCGUCUGUCUAUAAAAACUUGCUAAGGCCUGACAGUGGUGGUGUUCGUGAUCAAGUGUUUGAAAGUACUAGCCUCAUACUUAGUAUGGGAUGAGGAAGCCUAGUACCGGAUUGAACCUAGACGUGAGCGGUCGCCCCAUUGUUCUUGGAACGGAGUUUCCCCUGCUGGUUGUCGCACGUGGUGGCAAUGUGUGGUCACAGAACGGCAGAGGCCGGGUCUGUGGAACCUUGCACCAAAGGAAAUGGGCCCGACACGGGUUAGGGGAUUGAUGGGGAAGGCCGACACAGGAAGCGACCUCCGGGUGCGCGGAUGUCGUGAGGCUAGGUUCACCAUGCAUGGUUAAAGAACUCGAAUCGAUUCGUCUGCCUCUCACAGUUUGAGAUUGCUUGAUCGCUAUGUCACCCUGAGUAAAUAAGGAAUCUGAUGAUGGAAAUGUUUGUUGUUAUAUCCGCACAUCUUGCUUGGUUCUAUGAAUGCUUAGAAUAGGUGGCACAACCUAGACUGGUAAAUGAACCUAGAACCGGAGCUAAAACUUGAAAAUAGGGUUACUUAGUGCUUUUGGCAACCAAACCCCUCAGCCAAACAGCUUGCAUGUCUAGAAGGAGGAGUAGUCCUUACUCCUAUCGGUUAAGUCUUGUUGAGCUUAGUAGCUCAGCCUUGUUGUGGCUCCUGUUUUUCAGGUGAAGUUGCUGCGUCCGACCCCUCUCUGGUUGGUGCUUGGCCGUCCCAGCUCCCGCCAGGCUGGACGGUCGAGUGGGACCCCUCCUCGGACGGCGAGGAGAGGACUCAGUGAUGUCCUGGCUGGCCUCACCCGGACAUCCGACCCCGACGAAGUCUUCCGCUAGUGUUUCUCUGUUGUUUUCUUGAAAUCUUGUAAAACUCUGGUGUUGGAUUUUAUGGCCGAACUAAAUGGGUAAAACUUGUUCAACUCAGUGGACUUGUUGUAUUCUCUGUAACCACUCACCUUCGUGUGGGUUUGCUAGACUCGAUCCUGUUUAAGUGGUUAAAUCGGAUGAAAUCCGACGGCACUUCGUGUUAGCUCGGGUUAGGCCGGAGUGUCGCAUGUUAGGCAGCUUAACCCUGUUUAAUCAAGCUAAAUCGAGGUGGUUCCGCCACAGCUGGUAUCAGAGCCGUGUUUAGCAUUUCAGAGAACCCAAUGAGCCCUAAACACUUCUUUGAAAGGGAUAAAAGUUGCAAGAAACUUUUGAAAAUCUCGUAUUAUCGUUAAGGAUGACUUAGUGCGAGAGGCCCUAGGGGAUUUUGGGGUUGUUUUAGGUGACUAAUAAGUAUUUGGUUAUUUUGCUAACCCUUCCAGCACUUCGCCACGUCUAUCAUACGUGUGCCGAGUUCCGCAUCGCGAGUAUGCGAGGGUUGAUAGGGAGCUCCAUUCAAAGGACCCUAUCUUCGCAUUUGUUUUCGCCCACAUCUAUUACACGUGCACAGGUUCCGUAUGUGUUCCAUACGAAGGUUGGUACGGUUCGAUUCCAACGAACCUAUCAGCACGGUUGUUUCGCCACGUUUGUCAUACGUGUGCCGAUUCUGCAUCACGAGUAUGCGAAGGGUUAUACGGAUCCAUUCAAAGGGAGCCUAUUUCCACGGUUGAGUGCUGUCCAUGCAGCCUUAAACGCAUGGGUGCCGUUCCUAUAGUGAGCGGUAAUGUUUGGGAACGCUUUCGUGGGUGCUGGCACGAAAGGUUCGUGUGUGGUGUUUUCUGCAGGUUGCUAACCGCGUUCGUUAGGAGGCGUUACUAGAACCGACUAGUUAUUAUAGGGAGAGACGUAUUGUUGCCUUGUCACCGGCGCUGACCGCGUAAGACCCAAAGUUCGAGCAGUUGUUUUUUUUAGGAGUAAGGUAGGCCGUGCAUGCGUCAUAUCUCAAAGGUUGUACGGUCCCUUUUCUCAGCAGCAACCCUGUCCGAAAGAGUUCUUUUGAUCUAAGGAUUUCUAGUUUCUCUUAGUUGCUCUCGGUGAAACCCAUCUGCUUUUCUAUCCGACCCCUGACCCUUGGAGUUAUCUCACGUAGUUUCGGUUUUUCUUGGUUCCAGAUGGCUGUUCCCGGACAUGUUGUUUUUGGAGCGGACGGUACCUUCCAGUCAACGUGCCUGCAUUUCGAGGGGUUUCCCGCGAUUCUGUGGGAUACGCUGAAGUGGUUUGGGUAUCAGUCCCCGCCCUUGUAUGCCGGACGGUUAUAUAUGGAACAUGGCAUUCAGACGUGCCAGGUGCAAGCGUUGGUACCACCUCCCCUUGCACGGCCCGACUGGCCCUCUCUUGGCAUAAUAGCCUAUGGUCUCGCUCCGGAAGAUACAUGGGAGUCCGCCGCCCUUCAGUUGCUCACCCAGUUCUGUCAGCUGCAUCCCGUGGAGAUCACGCUAGACCCGAUCGGUGUCUUCCCCGUCAGGAACCGGCUGGACCCGGCCUGGCUUGACCGCGUCGGGAACAUCGAGGUGUUAGCCACCACCUGCGCCAUGGUUACCAUCUCUACCAACAUCCGGUGCAUGGCCGCCCUCUACCGGUUGAUAGAGCUUCAGGGAAGAGCCAUGACCCUCUUCGCCUGGACGGCUGCAGAUACCCACGGUUACCUCCAGGCAGCAAGAAGAGACAUGGUAGGCCAAACCUACCAGCUGAUCCAGCGUGGUAUCCAGAUCCACGAUAUGCAAGAUCGGAUCUCCGAGCUAGAAGGAGAAGUCGCCGACCUCGUGGACGGCAUGAUAGAGCUCUCGGAGGAAAAGAUGGAGGUGGAAAUGGAGUUGGCAGUUGCCAAUGCCCACCUGGAGGAGCACCAAGCCGAGCUCGAAGAUAUGCAUGCCCUCAACAUGCAGCUCGAAGCUCAGGAGGACCCUGAGGAAGACGAGGGAGCGUCCAGCAUGGAUAUAGAAGAAGAUGGCGCCCCUUCUCCGACUCAUAGUGUCCAUUGGUAGAUUAAGAGUUCUCAGGGAACCAUCUUUUUGUUGUACUCCUCGGCAGCCUAGAUUUUGGAAAAGUUGUAAUAGGUUAGCCUCGAGUUGAGUGCUCCUUGUGUUGAAACAUCGUGGUAUAUAAAGUUAACCCCGGUGCAUAGUUUUCUCCUCUUCGUAUGGUGUGAAUGCUAGGGUUGGGUAAGUUGUGCUGUAACCCUAUGCUGUUUUCGGGGAGCCUGUUCAGUUGGCCGACCCUAGUUUGCGAGCCAGAGUGCGCCGACCUUUGAGGCAGUUUCCGCCUCGUCCGACCCUUUUCAAGUACGGACCGUGUCCGACCCCUUGGUUUGAGUGGAUCAGAUCGUAGGAGUCUAAAUGUGGCAUGUGUUGCCUGAAGUGGAGUACCAGGUCAAGUAGAGGUUAUCUAUGCUGAGAAUGAGAGGAAUGUGCUUUCUCUAUGAGGACGUGUGAUGCACCAUUGGCAAGAGUCGCAUUGAGGGAUUUAAUUCAUACGUUCCAUUUGUUGGAGUACACCUAAGGUUAUGAAAUUAAUGGGGCGUUAACUCUUGCAAAUGGCGCACCGCACUAGGUCUGGAUCUGUGCCCAGUGGUAGUAAUCAGCGACAGGAUCUUCCCCCGCCCCCGCCCCCAUCGCCAUUGGAGGCAAUCCUAGCACCUCAAACUGAGCUGCUAAGACACCUGGUGCAAGGACAACAGCAACCGCCACAGGGUGGAAGAGCUCAGCAGCAACCGCAUAUCGCACGGUAUGAGGACUUCCUGGGGACGCAGCCCCCGCUGUUCCAAAAGACACAAGAACCGCUCGAUGCUGAUGCAUGGGUUCGUACGAUCGAAUCCAAGUUCGAGCUCCUCACCGCUCCAUGCCCCGAUCACAACAAGGCGCGGUUCGCAGCUCAGCAGCUGCGUGGCUCCGCACGGCUUUGGUGGGACCACUACCAUGCCAUGCUGCCGGCUGGCCACGUGGUCAGCUGGAACGAGUUCAAGACGGCGUUCAAGGCACAUCACAUUCCCGAAGGUCUCCUGGAGCGCAAGCUCAACGAGUUUCUGACCCUCACCCAAGGAACUCGGGAUGUGCUGCAUUACGCCCAAGCUUUCAAUGACCUAUGCCGUUAUGCUGGCUAUCAUGCGGACACAGACGAGAAGAAGCGGGACCGAUUCCGCCGAGGACUGAGCUUGGAGCUCAGGGAAAGGCUGAACCCCAUCAGGGUGGACACCUACAACGAGUUGGUCAACCUGGCCAUCUCUCAGGAGGACUGCAUGCAAGCUCUCAAGGCCGACCAGAAGAGGAAAGCCUCCGUGGCAUUUCCGAGUCCACCGACUCGAAGGUUCCGGAUGAUCCCUCCACAAGCCCCUGGCCGACCCCAGCAGUCAGGGAAAUGGAUCGCCCGACCCCCGCCGGCAACAACGCCUCGUUUUCCAGGCUUUCAACCGCAAGUGCCCCGGCCGACCCUGCCGACGCCACCUCGCCCGGCAGCCAGUAAUCGUUGUUUUACCUGCGGCAAUGAAGGACACUUCGCAAAGGACUGCCCCAGGAACAAGAAUCAACAGCAAGGUCAGAACCCCCUGGCAGCCAGAGGAAGAAGGCCCAAGGUGCAAGUCCGACAAGGCCAACUCAACUACACCAGCUUGACCGAGCUCCCCGAAGGUGCGCCAGUAAUGACGGGUACUUUCCUUGUUUUAAAUCAAGCUGUUGUUGUGUUGUUUGAUUCGGGAGCCUCUCAUAGCUUUAUCGGGAAUAAGGCAAGGGAAAGAUGUGGGCUAAGUGUCGGUCACACUAAGGAACCCUAUGUGAUCGCCACUCCUGGAGGAAGGAUAACGUCGGAUCAGGUCGUUAUUCUUGUACCUCUCCAGCUAGGCCCCACCCUCUUCAAGGAAAACCUUAUCAUCCUUGACCUAAAAGGCAUAGAUGUCAUCCUUGGUAUGGACUGGAUGGCCCGACAUCAUGUUGUUCUAGAUACAUCAGCCCGAUCUCUUUACAUCAGCUCACCCUCUCAUGGUAGUUCUACCGUACCCUUGACCCAUCCUGAGUCUUCGACUCCUUGUGCCUACCCUCUCUUGGGAGCCCGUCUAGAAGACCUCCCUGUUAUCUGUGAGUACCCUGAUGUGUUUCCAGAAGAUUUGCCGGGUAUGCCACCUGACAGAGAAGUGGAGUUUUCCAUAGAGUUGGUUCCUGGCACAGCCCCGAUAUCUAAGAGACCCUAUCGGAUGCCACCCGCUGAGUUAGCCGUGUUGAAGACCCAGUUGCAUGAUCUGUUGGAAAAGGGCUUCAUUCGACCCAGUACAUCAUCUUGGGGUUGCCCCGCCCUGUUUGUGAAGAAGAAGGAUGGCAGUCUACGCAUGUGUGUGGAUUACCGACCCCUCAAUGCUGUGACGGUCAAGAACAAGUACCCGUUGCCACGCAUUGAUGUCUUGUUCGAUCAGUUAGCCGGAGCAAAAGUGUUCUCCAAGAUCGAUCUUCAUUCUGGUUAUCACCAAAUAAAGAUUCAACCCUACGACAUACCCAAGACAGCUUUCUCUACCAGAUAUGGACUGUACGAGUACCUAGUCAUGUCCUUUGGACUCACCAAUGCACCUGCUUAUUUCAUGUACCUUAUGAACUCGGUGUUUAUGCCCGAGCUGGACAAGUUUGUAGUGGUGUUCAUUGAUGAUAUCCUAGUGUACUCGAAGAACGAGGAAGAGCACGCCGACCAUCUUCAUAUAGUUCUCCAACGGCUGAGAGAUCACCAGCUCUAUGCAAAGUUCUCCAAGUGUGAGUUUUGGUUAGAUAGUGUCAAGUUUCUGGGACACACUAUCUCUAAGGAUGGUAUCGCCGUGGAUCCCAGUAAGGUGCAAGAAGUCAUGGAAUGGAAGUCUCCUACCUCAGUACACCAGAUCAGGAGUUUCCUUGGAUUGGCAGGUUACUAUCGGCGUUUCAUACCGGAUUUCUCCAAGAUAGCUAAGCCGAUGACCGAGUUGCUGAAGAAGGAGGUCAAAUUUGUGUGGGACACCAAGUGUGAAGAGGCCUUCAAGACCCUGAAGCACUUGCUGACCACCGUCCCAGUUUUGGCUCAGCCCGACCCCUCUAGGUCGUAUGACGUAUACUGUGACGCCUCUGGCACUGGACUCGGAUGUGUUCUCAUGCAAGACACUCGAGUCAUUGCCUAUGCCUCACGUGCGUUACGACCUCAUGAGCUAAGCUACCCGACACAUGACCUUGAGUUAGCAGCAGUGAUACAUGCCUUGAAGAUAUGGAGGCACUACCUAAUGGGAGCUCAUUGCAACAUCUACACCGACCACAAGAGCCUCAAGUACAUUUUCACUCAAGCCGACCUCAACAUGCGUCAGAGAAGAUGGCUGGAAUUGAUAAAGGAUUAUGAGUUAGAAGUGCACUAUCAUCCUGGCAAGGCCAAUGUAGUAGCCGAUGCCCUCAGCCGCAAACCCCAUUGCAACUGCUUGUUGUCAACAGCCUUCACCAAAACCCUGUGUCACGAGAUGGGAAAACUAAGUUUGGAGAUUAUUCCUCAUGGAACCCUUGGUCACAUCAUCCUUGACUCAGUUUUGGAGGACCAAAUUCGGUCAGCACAAGUUAAGGAUGAAGAAAUAAAACGGAUCAUCAGUAAGAUCUCAGUAAAGGAUGAAGGAUAUAAGCAAUUCCGUCAGGACAAAACGGGAGGUGUGUAUUAUGGAAACCGACUAGUAGUGCCCGCCGACCCCGAGUUGAGGAGGCAAAUCCUAGAUGAAGCUCAUCUCUCCAAGUUCUCGAUCUAUCCUGGCAGCAAUAAGAUGUACCAUGAUCUCCGUCAAACCUUUUGGUGGAGUGGAAUGAAACCAGAGAUAGCUCGGUAUGUUUCAGAAUGUGACACCUGUCAACGUGUCAAGGCCAGUCAUUUGAAGGUAGCAGGAACCUUGCAGCCGCUACCUGUUCCCUCUUGGAAAUGGGAAGACAUCAGCAUGGACUUCAUAGUUGGAUUACCCCUUACAACACAACGAUAUUAUUCCAUCUGGGUUAUAGUGGACCGUCUGACCAAGACGGCACAUUUCCUUCCUGUUUGUACCACCUACACAGUCAAGCAAUAUGCAGAGUUGUACCUCGACCGUAUAGUUUCCCUACAUGGUGUACCCAAGACUAUCGUCUCUGAUCGAGGAGUUCAGUUUGUGGCACGCUUUUGGGAGCAACUACAAGCAUCUAUGGGCACCAAGCUCAUCCGAAGCUCAACAUAUCAUCCUCAAAUCGAUGGCCAAACCGAGAGAGUCAACCAGAUUCUUGAAGACAUGUUAAGAGCCUGUGUUAUCCACUAUGAUAAAAACUGGGACAAGUGUCUGCCUUUAGCAGAAUUCUCCUACAAUAAUAGCUAUCAGGCCAGUUUGAAGAUGGCACCGUUUGAGGCCCUGUAUGGCCAAAGAUGCAGGACACCCUUGAACUGGUCCCAACCAGGGGAAAGACAGGUCUAUGGCCCUGACUUAGUGGCAGAAGCCGAAGAGCAAGUGAAGGUAAUUCAAGCGAAUCUCAAGGCUGCCCAAUCUCGACAGAAGAGUUACUCCGACCAGCGGAGAAGACCCCUCCAGUUCGACCUUGGUGAUCAUGUGUACCUUCGAGUUUCCCCGACCAAAGGAGUGCAACGGUUUGGAAUAAAAGGCAAGUUAGCUCCCCGCUAUGUUGGCCCUUAUGAGAUUGUGGAGAUAUGUGGACCCGUUGCUUACCGGAUCCAACUCCCAGAGCAGCUAUCAGCCAUACAUGAUGUUUUUCAUGUGUCUCAACUGAAGAAAUGUGUCCGAGUUCCAGCAGAGAUCAUAGAGCAAGGACAGCUUCAGGUAGAGCCCGACCUGACCUACGCCGAGUACCCAGAUCGAGUUCUUGACCAAAAGGAAAGGCACACCCGACGCCAAGUGGUAAAGAUGUACAAGAUCCUCUGGAGAAACCACACUGAGGAUGAAGCAACAUGGGAAACGGACGAAUAUCUGAACAAGCGGUUCCCCGGUUUUCUGUCCCAUCAAGGAGGUAAGAACAGCACACCCCCUUUUUGAUCUUGAAUCUCGGGACGAGAUUCUUUUUAAGAGGGGUAGGCUGUAACGACCGACCCCUAAGCCUUCCAGUUAGUCGUGAUCGCAGCCCUUAGCUUUAGUUAGCUGUCUCGCUUGACCGCACCUAAGUGCUUAGUUUUCCGCCGGUCCCGACCCCUAAGAUCCGACCCCUUCCCGCUUCGCUCCUCUCCCGACCCCGGUGAGCUCAGCCCACCGUUGGAUUCUGCUGAUCUUUCUCACCCGUCCGAUCUAUCCACCGGUGGACCCGCGAGAUCUUUUCCAGAUCCCCCGCGCCAGCCGCACUCGAGUUGCAUGGCCGCCUCAGAGUCUUCCUGCCGCGUGGCUCGUCUUCUCCGACGCCUGCCGCUCAGUUUUGUCUCUGGCAAGCAACCGAGUGGGUUCCCGCGCCCCCUUUCCCCAAUGGUAGCGGAAGCCCUCUGCACCCCUUUCUGCAGAGCCUCGUCUCCCGCGCCCAUCAUCACGCCACCAGAUCCCGGCCCCAGAGCCCGAUGUCGCCCGUCUUUUCCGUCCCUUCAGCCACAGUUGCGCCGCCCGGUCGCCGCUACACGACGAUUCCUCCACCGCCAACCCCGACCGCGGCCGCGACAGUUCCUUUCCCCCGCACUGUCAGAAGCCACCCGAGAAUCUGUUGUUCCGCGCUCUCCCCCGCGCCCACGUCCGCCUGUCUUCUCACCUGUGCGCCCUCAAUUCUAGCGCCGUUAAACCGGUCGCUUCUAUCACCUCUUCCGCACGACGACGCCCGCUUUCCGCCAAAUCUCAACCACCAGUCUACCCGCCCCUACGCCGCCCUGACGGCAGAACGCAAUGAUCGCUGGCGUCACCCCCGGAGUUCUGCACCACCGCCCUCUUUGCUCAAUCGCCGCCCCGGCAGAGCACUCCAUUGCCUCUCCCCGGCCUUCGCGCCGCUCCCCUUCUCUCUCUCCGUGCCAUUUCCUUUCCUCUGCUCCAGCAGCUAUAAAAGGAAUGCCCCCGUCGCCGGAGUUUCCCUCCGCUCUCGUUGCCUUCAGCCUUCUCUAGCUCCCUGCUCAAGCUCCUAGCGCCACCCACCCAGUUCUUGAGGAGUUCUUCUCUCAGUUCUCCCUUAGUUUUCUCCCAGUCACCCAGCAGCUUGCUCCUCCGUGCUGCGUAAAAGCUCUCUGGUGAUCCGCCAGAAGCAGCGCCGCCACCGGAGCAUUGCUAGUUUUAGCCCUUGCUCGAAGCUUUAGUCCCUCCGCCCAAGUCUGCUUCUUCCCGACCCCACGCUUUCCUUUCAGGAAGAAGGUGAGUUGCCGACCCCAGUCCGCCUCGCCUGACCCCUCCUAUCCGCCCGACCCCGGUUCCGUCUCGCCCGACCCUGUCUGUUCCGCCGACCCUUAUCCGCCUCGCCCGAGGGCUUGGCUGUGAUCUUUUUCUUCAACUCGAGGGUGUAUGUGUAAAACUUGGGAACCCUUCAGCGCUUGCGUCUAAGGACUCCCCCAGUUAUCACAUCCUCUAGUUCAAGGAUCAGACCACUAGUUCCUUUCCUACCCUUACCUUUUG
This 11733-nucleotide long non-coding RNA is filed under the name Setaria viridis. Its description in RNAcentral is "long non-coding RNA (SVIR_LNC004380)". Lineage: Eukaryota; Viridiplantae; Streptophyta; Magnoliopsida; Poales; Poaceae. The record is from RNAcentral.